UAGCCAAUGAGGUUUAUCCGAGGCG
RNAcentral lists this non-coding RNA (25 nucleotides) under Gallus gallus (chicken). RNAcentral also lists the same sequence under 4 other names. The record is from RNAcentral. Lineage: Eukaryota; Metazoa; Chordata; Aves; Galliformes; Phasianidae.